This 418-nucleotide long non-coding RNA is filed under the name Helianthus annuus (common sunflower). RNAcentral describes it as "hypothetical non coding rna". The record is from RNAcentral. Lineage: Eukaryota; Viridiplantae; Streptophyta; Magnoliopsida; Asterales; Asteraceae.
UUGACACUCAGCUAACUUCUUUGCAGCAGCUGCCAAUUAUCUCUCCUGCAAAAUAUAUUCAUAUAACGUGCAUAUAUUAAAAUAGUACUCUAGGUUAUCGUUACGAUGAGAGUUGAACGCGCCCUUUAGAAAAAUACGAAAAAAAUAUAACUAACCUGUAGAGAAUCCUGUCAUUUUGUUACAAACGGUAAAAGCGACAUCAAAGUAAGCUACAAGAGCAUGAAUGUAAUCAUCACGCUCGGCCACAAGCUUGAAAGGCGCUGUAAACGAUGCAUCCCCAGACGUCAUCUUGGAGAUAUUCAUGCUCUCUUAAGUAACUGAAAAUUUGUAACGAUCUGAUUCUGGUCAACUGUGUCAACAAGAGGUUCCAUCAUCGAUUGCUUCCUGAUGCAGCACAUAUCAAAGCCAUACACAUUUU